Molecule: long non-coding RNA, 210 nt
Filed under: Prunus persica (peach)
Lineage: Eukaryota; Viridiplantae; Streptophyta; Magnoliopsida; Rosales; Rosaceae
Description: long non-coding RNA (PPER_LNC000330)
Source: RNAcentral
GAAUAUAAAACUGUAGAAAUACACUAAAAUACCAGCUUGAUAAACUCAUCAGGGAAACCCAAUUUCUCCAUCAUUUUACAGAUGAAAUUCCACUCAACUCUAUCAUACGCUUUUGCCAUGUCUAGCUUCAAAGCAAACCUUGGAACUUUUUUUUCCCCUUCUACAUUUCGCCAUGGUGGUUUUCUUAAAGGAUGAACUAAAUUAAUCUUG